Molecule: ribosomal RNA, 253 nt
Filed under: uncultured bacterium
Lineage: Bacteria
Description: partial 16S ribosomal RNA
Rfam family: Bacterial small subunit ribosomal RNA
Source: RNAcentral
CACGGGGGGAGCAAGCGUUGUUCGGAAUCACUGGGCGUAAAGGGCGUGUAGGCGGUCAAGUAAGUGGAAUGUGAAAUGCCCCGGCUCACCCGGGGAUCUGCAUCCCAAACUGCUUGGCUUGAGUAUGGGAGAGGAUGAGGGAAUUCCUGGUGUAGCGGUGAAAUGCGUAGAUAUCAGGAGGAACACCGGUGGCGAAGGCGGGUCUCUGGGCCGAUACUGACGCUGAGGAGCGAAAGCGUGGGGAGCGAACAGG